This 594-nucleotide long non-coding RNA is filed under the name Phasianus colchicus (ring-necked pheasant). RNAcentral's name for it is "lncRNA (ENSPCLG00000000421.1)". Lineage: Eukaryota; Metazoa; Chordata; Aves; Galliformes; Phasianidae. The record is from RNAcentral.
AUGUGUGAACUUUCUCUCGAGCCCUCAUCACUGUUGGAGCAAUGGCUGAGCAGUCGUAAUGCAGUGUGUCAGGAAGAAGUCAGAAGAGGUAACAACAAAGGCAAAAUGGAGCUGGAUGGACUUCUCUUUUGGCUGAAAUCAAGGCAGGUGGUAUCUGCACAUCCAUGGCCUUUCCUUGACUACAAGAUGGGAAAAGCUCGGCCACAUCCAGGCUGCUCCCACCCAUCUGCUCUGAGAGUUCAGCAGUUUUACCAUCCAGGAGGAGCUGAGAGCUGCUCUGGAAGUCUUUUGUCUGUGGAUAUGAAGGUGGUUCUGUGUGCUCUCUGGAAGUCUGUAGAUGGACAGAACUGCUGGCACAGUGCUUUUCCCUCUGUUUGGCAUUGGAUAGCCAAUGACAGAAGUCUAAAAGCAGGCAGGUUAUUCUCCAAAUGCACCACAAAACAACAGCGACAACAACGAGGUGUCCGUGACCUGGAGAAGCCAAAAGCCUGCUCCUGUCCUCCCCUGAGGCGCGCUGGAUGUGCAGCUGGGAGUUCUCUAAAGGAUUUCACAGCAGCUGAGCUCAUGCAAAAUGGGAAGAUGUUGGAGCUCUGA